Long non-coding RNA from Xenopus tropicalis (tropical clawed frog), 183 nucleotides. RefSeq lists it as uncharacterized. NCBI's taxonomy places the organism in Eukaryota, Metazoa, Chordata, Amphibia, Anura, Pipidae. The transcript is spliced from 2 exons. The record is from RefSeq and is a predicted model, not a curated record.
GCGGGAACACAGAGAAAAAUUAACAAAACUUGCAAAACAACCAACAAGGCCAAGGACUCCCUACGCAAGGCUCGUACAGGGGCAGUACAGGAAGUAAAAAAAUGCAAGGAGGGAGUGUCAGAAGACAUAGUAAAACUGUUGGAAAAGCAGAUACAACAAAUGGGAGAUGACAACUGAACUCGA